GAAAACUUGGCAUUUUUCAGUACUAACACAAUUCAGGCAUGUUUGCAUGACAUUUAGGCAUGUUUGUAUGCUUUCAGUACUGUCACAGUUCACAUGAAAAUUGGCAGAAUGUAAAUUCACAUGGCACUCUGAAUGUAAAUUCACAUAGGCAGAUUCAUGGACCAUUUAAUCAUUUCAUCCCAAGUUCACUUAAUUUUUUUUUGCAUGGAAGUUCACUUAAUAAUCUGACAUUUCAAGUUAACCAAGUGAGGAUUUGACCCAAUCUGUCUUUUUGGUAAAUUCACAUGGAAGAGUAAGUCUUUUUGAUGCUAUAUUUAAACCUUCAGAUGGAACAGCUGAAGCUCAGAUUAUUGUUUAUCACAAGGGUUGUUCAAAACUGCAGUUAUCAUGCAAUUUGACUGAUUUUGUUACUCCCAUAGAGCAAAUGUGAAAUAGUGCAAGGGCCAAGGAAAACAGUGUCAUUGCUUGGGAAUGAUGUCAAGCCGGAGAGUGGUGUUUUUCUUCCACUUUCUCUAUUCUAUCUCGAAUAAAAGUUUCCAAAAAUUAUAUCGAUUGUUUCCAAAUACUCCUCACUGAUUGUUUCCAAAUACUCCUCACUGAUUGUUUCCAAAACUAUAUUGAUUAUUUCCAAAAACUCAUUGGUUGAUUGUUUUUCAAGAAUCUUUCAUUGUAUCCAAACACUAUAUUGGUAGUUCCGAAAAACUCCUCACUGAUUGAUUGUUUUCCAGGAGUACCUACAAGAGGCAGGGUGAGGAAGGAGCAACUGUUGGAGUCACAAUAACAACAGUGGCGAUGGUGGGGAAGGAUCGAUUCCGCCACUCAGGUGGCGCGAUUCUGCCACUCAGGUGGCGAUUCCAUCGGCAAUGCUGCUAGCUCGAUCUACGGGGUGGCGAUUCUGCCACUCAGAUGGCCGGCGGCUGCAGCGGGCGAUGGAACUAGAAGAUUGAUCGCGUAGGUGGGUGGCGCCGCAGAUGGGCGCCAAAAUCGUGCUGGUGGGCGGCGGCUGCCCCCUUGCGAUGGCGCAGGCGACGGAUGGAGGAAGAAGCAGACGGGGACCUAUUUCAAACAGUCUUGGAAGUACGAGUCCUUGUUUUUUUUGCUAAAAUGCAGUCCACUAGGUGCGCGACAAUCUUUUUUGGACGGAUGGGUUAUUAUCUUGUGAAAUUCUGACCUGAAUUCCCUGUGCUUUGUGUAAAUACAGACCAAGAGAUUCUUUUGCCUUCUUCCGCACGUGCCACUUGCACGUGAGUGGUGUCUGGCAUCACUUUC
This 1269-nucleotide long non-coding RNA is filed under the name Triticum aestivum (bread wheat). Its description in RNAcentral is "long non-coding RNA (TAES_LNC022832)". The record is from RNAcentral. Lineage: Eukaryota; Viridiplantae; Streptophyta; Magnoliopsida; Poales; Poaceae.